Molecule: ribosomal RNA, 497 nt
Filed under: uncultured bacterium
Lineage: Bacteria
Description: partial 16S ribosomal RNA
Rfam family: Bacterial small subunit ribosomal RNA
Source: RNAcentral
GAUGAACGCUGGCGGCGUGCCUAAUACAUGCAAGUCGAGCGAACGGACGAGAAGCUUGCUUCUCUGAUGUUAGCGGCGGACGGGUGAGUAACACGUGGAUAACCUACCUAUAAGACUGGGAUAACUUCGGGAAACCGGAGCUAAUACCGGAUAAUAUUUUGAACCGCAUGGUUCAAAAGUGAAAGACGGUUUUGCUGUCACUUAUAGAUGGAUCCGCGCUGCAUUAGCUAGUUGGUAAGGUAACGGCUUACCAAGGCAACGAUGCGUAGCCGACCUGAGAGGGUGAUCGGCCACACUGGAACUGAGACACGGUCCAGACUCCUACGGGAGGCAGCAGUAGGGAAUCUUCCGCAAUGGGCGAAAGCCUGACGGAGCAACGCCGCGUGAGUGAUGAAGGUCUUCGGAUCGUAAAACUCUGUUAUUAGGGAAGAACAUAUGUGUAAGUAACAGUGCACGUCUUGACGGUACCUAAUCAGAAAGCCACGGCUAACUACGUG